UUUUAAGUUCUCUAUUAUGGAGAGUUUGAUCCUGGCUCAGGACGAACGCUGGCGGCGUGCCUAAUACAUGC
RNAcentral lists this ribosomal RNA (71 nucleotides) under Psychrobacillus soli. RNAcentral's name for it is "partial 16S ribosomal RNA". The stretch from base 14 to 71 matches the Rfam family "Bacterial small subunit ribosomal RNA", at positions 1 to 58 of the family's 1533-position model. The record is from RNAcentral. Lineage: Bacteria; Bacillati; Bacillota; Bacilli; Caryophanales; Bacillaceae.